Long non-coding RNA from Quercus lobata, 278 nucleotides. RefSeq lists it as uncharacterized. The transcript has 3 exons. The record is from RefSeq and is a predicted model, not a curated record. Lineage: Eukaryota; Viridiplantae; Streptophyta; Magnoliopsida; Fagales; Fagaceae.
UGUUGCUUAUGUGAACAUUGCAUGUUACUACGUUUUUGGGAUCCCUUUGGGUCUCAUUCUGGGUUACAAGCUUGAUUGGGGUGUCACGGGGAUUUGGUACGGCAUGAUGAUUGGAACGAUCGUACAGACUGGUGUACUUUUCAUUAUAGUUUAUAGGACCAACUGGAACAAAGAGGCAUCAAUUGCUGGAGACAGAAUAAGGAAAUGGGGAGGGCCGAAACAGAGUGAUGUAGAGAAAACAAACGAGAGCUGAGAGUUCAAGGAAACAUGCCUGAGUU